AAAAUCAAUUCGUGCAAAAAAUAAAUAACUACCUGAACCAAUUCAUACAAGUUGCCAACUACCUAAACAAGAACAUACAAUCACAAUACUAUAACCCAGAAAAACUUAUUGGAUGGAAAACCAAACCUUUGAAGGGAUAUAACAAAUUAGUAGCAUUAAACUAAACAUACCCAAAACUCAUACAGACCAUGUAUAAUUAUGGACUAUUGCAUGCAGUAUAUACGCAAAAUG
RNAcentral lists this long non-coding RNA (231 nucleotides) under Nicotiana benthamiana. Its description in RNAcentral is "long non-coding RNA (NBEN_LNC009212)". Lineage: Eukaryota; Viridiplantae; Streptophyta; Magnoliopsida; Solanales; Solanaceae. The record is from RNAcentral.